This 253-nucleotide ribosomal RNA is filed under the name uncultured bacterium. RNAcentral's name for it is "partial 16S ribosomal RNA". It matches the Rfam family "Bacterial small subunit ribosomal RNA", at positions 524 to 776 of the family's 1533-position model. The record is from RNAcentral.
UACGGAGGGUGCGAGCGUUAAUCGGAAUAGCUGGGCGUAAAGGGCACGCAGGCGGGCUUUUAAGUGAGGUGUGAAAUCCCCGGGCUUAACCUGGGAAUAGCAUUUCAGACUGGGAGUCUAGAGUACUUUAGGGAGGGGUAGAAUUCCACGUGUAGCGGUGAAAUGCGUAGAGAUGUGGAGGAAUACCGAUGGCGAAGGCAGCCCCCUGGGAUAACACUGACGUUCAUGUGCGAAAGCGUGGGGAGCAAACAGG